Lolium perenne is the source of this 1721-nucleotide long non-coding RNA. RefSeq lists it as uncharacterized. NCBI's taxonomy places the organism in Eukaryota, Viridiplantae, Streptophyta, Magnoliopsida, Poales, Poaceae. The record is from RefSeq and is a predicted model, not a curated record.
UGGGUUGCCAUUUUAGAACCAGAGCCUAAGCAAGAGCAUUGCAAGGCGAUAUGGGAGCUCAGAAAGUCGCCAUAAAACUACCGUUUAAGACCAGGUUGAAAGUUUGUUUGUGUUUACUGCAACUCGCAUGAUGCAGCGUGGCGGUGGCACGGAGAACCAAGCGGGAAGUGAACCAUCAGCCUUUGAGUUACCUGUCACCCUUGGCAUCGAGAAGAUGACACCCAAGCCGUCUUACACCACAGAUAUUGACGGUUGGUCCAGCAGGUGAAAGUUAGACAAAGGUUAGAGAACUUGGUUCCAUUUCCUGUACCUUUGUAUGUACAUGUGUAUGAUAUCUAUAGGCUCCAGUCACCAAAUAAAGUCUAUUUCUCUUUUAGACUAUAGUUACCAGGCUUAGCAUCAUAUACAGUUUUUUUUGCAAGUUGCUACUUCUGUAUCUAAAAAAGAUAUAUAUUGGAAGCUUGUCACCUGAAACUGAUGCAAAUGCUUGGUGGUGUUUAUUCUUUCCAUCAUGAAUAAAUGCUAGAAAGACCACCCCUGUGAGCAACACCCAGCGGCCAGUCAAUUCCUCCCUUCCCUGCAACACUCUUGACCCUGUGAGCAGUCCUGGAAUGAACAUCCCGAAUAAACAAUUCUGUUGUAGUCCCUCUACAUUUAUUUGCUAUUAUGUUGGUUUCACCCAGAGAUGAUUGGCUUGCUGAUUAUGGUCUUGAUAAAGUUGGCCAGUAUACACUCACUAUCACAAUCACUAUCACCGGGAAGCCCAACAUCAAGUGGAACUAUGUUGCCGGCUACAAGAGCACCAAGUAGACUGAUCAAGUUCCCACAGUUUUCACAGAAUGAUCUCCACAGGUAACCUCCGGUGAGGAUGCAAGCUGCAAGCGCUCCUCGAGUCAGCCUGUCCCGAAAACCCGAUGCACAAUAAGGCAUGGAACAUCCCAGGCAAGGAGUUAUCAUGGCAGCAGAUGUCUAAAACAUUGCACGUGCCCUGAGAAGAAAGAUAGGACAGAACAAAUGCUGGCAAAGAUGAAGGAACAAAGAGUGUUUCUUCUGCAAAUGAGGCAUGAGAAGAAAGAUAGAAGAGAUGAAUCCACUGAUUUCAACGUAUAGUGGAUGCUUCUACAACACCAAGUCAAGACACCACCUCCAGUGAGAAAAAUCGUAUUCACAAGAGGCGAUAUGUGGAGCGAGAUAAUGCAAGUAGUUGAGUAUCGCCGCGGAGACGAAGGUGGAGGUAGACUUGAGAGAUAGAAGAAUGUGUUAAAGGUGGCAUAAACCUCUUCAAAGUUUCCCUCGAGAUCGAAGAAUCGAGAGCGGAGGGCGAGCCAUGGACGCGGUGGUGGAGAUCUUGACGAGACUGCACCUCUCGCCCUGGCUACCAUCGUCGACUUGCCGUGGUCCAACGCCGCCACAAGGGGCUCUUGCCUUACGGGGUUAUCAUGAUCCAUUAUAUGCAACCAUGGAGUGGCCCAGUUGGAGUGGAUUUGGAUUGUACAUUUGUGCUACCAAGGAUCUGAGGAUUGGAGAUUGAAGAAGAUGAAUCAUGUACUGGCAGCUUUGUAGCGUAGUAUGCAGAAACUUUGCUUCACAAAGAACCUAAAGACAAGAUCAGAAGUUGCCCAUAUACCAGCUACCUGGAUAGUACCAUCCCUGUCCCUAACCCACUGUAAUUUGCUUUUAGAUUGUUGUUCAACUGAAACAAGUAGUACCUUAUGUGACCC